RNAcentral lists this long non-coding RNA (345 nucleotides) under Pan troglodytes (chimpanzee). RNAcentral describes it as "long non-coding RNA NONPTRT010489". Lineage: Eukaryota; Metazoa; Chordata; Mammalia; Primates; Hominidae. The record is from RNAcentral.
AACAGAGACAAGAGGAACUAUCUUUAACUAGACUGUAGUCACCCACGAGCUCCAGUGGACACAUACUAGGAGAUUAAAGUUACUUUCAUGUCUGCUAAUACAGCAUCUAUUCUGUAGCCCAUGGAUCAAGGAGUUAUCUUCUUGUUUUACCAUUUAAGAAACACAUUUUGGAGCCGGGCUUGAUGGCUCACGCCUGUAAUGUGAUCUGAAGGAAUAAGGGUAUUCCCAGAGGAAAGACAAAACAAAUUCACCCCCACUACACAUACAUACAUCCCUAUCUGAAGAAAAACAUGGCAAGACCCCAUCUCUACCAAAAAAAAAAAAAAAAAGUAGCUAGGCAUCAGG